This 71-nucleotide transfer RNA is filed under the name Marmota monax (woodchuck). Its description in RNAcentral is "tRNA.Ala". Lineage: Eukaryota; Metazoa; Chordata; Mammalia; Rodentia; Sciuridae. The record is from RNAcentral.
GAGGUUGUGGCUCAGUGAUAGAGCGCUUGCCUAGCAUGUGCAAGGCCCUGGGUUCAAUCCUCAGCACCACA